GCCUGGGUGGCUCAGUCAGUUGAGCGUCCGACUUUGGCUCAGGUCAUGAUCUCACGGUUUGUGGGUUCGAGCCCGCGUCAGGCU
This 84-nucleotide transfer RNA is filed under the name Felis catus (domestic cat). It matches the Rfam family "tRNA". Rfam says of the family: Transfer RNA (tRNA) molecules are approximately 80 nucleotides in length. Lineage: Eukaryota; Metazoa; Chordata; Mammalia; Carnivora; Felidae. The record is from Rfam by way of RNAcentral.